UGAGACUCUUGAUAGAUAAAUAAAUAAAUAAAUCCCAGCUGUACUGAGCACCGUUCUGUAAAGACUUUCCCUUUUGCCAGAAACACUGAACCAUGUAGGUUUGUAAGAAGGCAAAACCUGGUUGUAGCAUAACUUGGUCAUGCCAAGUGUGCCAAACUUCAGAGGCCCUCAAAUAACUGGUCCUACCACCAGUUUUCCUGCACAACCUACAUGCAUGCUUUCUGUCUCUUCCUCUCCCCCUCUCCAUCUCUGGCCACAAUCCUACAAUGUCCAUACUUCCAGCCAUGUACUUGACAGUCAAACAAAAAAAGUUCUAAGGUUUGGCCAGAUGACAGUAUACAAUCAGCCCAAACACCUACACUUUCUACAUUGACUGUACCAUCCACAUUGAUUAUUCCAAUAAUCCAUACAUCAGUAAACAUUUAAUACACUAAAUUACAUCCCCCACUCUAUUCACUAAUGAACCUGAGAAGUAACAAUAAAAAGUUUUUCUGGUUAAGAAAAUGCAGUUCAUUACAGUCAUUACAGCAUUUGGGUCUCUCAAGAUUGGCCUCUUCCAUGCAAAAGGCAUUACCAUGGUGAUCUUCUAGACACCAUAUGUUUUCCUCCCAUAUCUUUUGAGCCAAUUAACCUACUCUCCUCCCAGAGCACAUGUGCAGUUCAUGGCAAGUUAGGAAGAAACCAUCAAUUGACUGGGUUGCAGAAAGUUUAGAAGCAAACAGUGGCUCUGAUAUAUCCCUAACAAACAGGUUUCAUGCAUAACAAAAGAAAUGUGGAGUUCUACUCCAAGACUGAAUACCUCCCAGUUUAAGCAAUUUUCAUAUACAAUAGAAACAGAAGUGUUCCACACUGAUGCUAAAAAUGUUGGCUUAAGUUAAUUCCAAAAUACCACAGUUGAGAAGGAGUAGCCUUGAGUGACUCUCAGUUCAUUCAUUUGACCAUCAUUUACGAAACGCUGUACAGGAUCCACGUGCUGUAUGCUUGUGAGAUGCAGAGGGCAAGACAAAAGUCCUUGUCCCCAAGAAGCUUAUGAUCCAGAAUAAUUAAAACUUCAGAGGUCAUAAAAGCCUUAGAAAUCUAAUAAAAGUUGCAGACUCCUAGGAAAAUACUUUCACAGAAAGAAUAUUCCAGAUGAUUACAGGAAAUCACAAGUUCCCCAGAGGGAAAUCCAUAUACUUAAGUAAAGUACCCUUGAUCUAAUAGGAGAGGGGACAUAGGUUCAUAAAUAUAUAGUUCCAAGGUAUGUAUUAAAACUGCGUAUGUAUCAUAGUUUGGUUCAUUAUCAUUUUGGAUUAUGUUUGCAUGCUUUUCAGGAUUCUGUGAGGUGAGUGGAACCUAAGGCCUCAAGGACCACCUUACACAGCCCAGUGUCUGAGGCUCCCAUGGUUCCAGGCCAUUAGCUGGGAAGUACAAUGAGGCCUGUUACUUCCAAGGCUGAUGAGAACGCUGAGGAAACCAGUAACACAAACUCACUGGUCCACAAAAGGAGGUUUUCACUUACAGAGAAUCUUUACACAAUAUUCAUCAGCCAAAUACCUACAGAAAGUUAAUUCAUACUUGAAAGAUCUCAGAAAGGCAACUCAUGCUAGGUCCCCUUUGAGCUUCCCAUGGGCUGCUCAAGUUGUCUUGAUGCAUCGUCAAUUAUAUGUUCUUCACGACUAAACAUCGCUUACAACAUUAUUAAUUUCUGCAGAACCAAAUGGAACAGGAAAUGCCUAGAGGUGAUAUGUCUGUGACCUGCACAUUAUAACGUGGAAUUGUGAACAGACUACCUCUCUGGGAAUCUUCACAUGAAAAGGCAAUCAAAUUAACUUCCAAUUAGUCCACUGCUAAAAAUAAUGCUAAGAAAGAGAUGUUUUUGGUCGCUUUGAAGAGAGGGGAGACUCUGAGCUACCUGGGAAGGAGAUGCGUUUGGAGGUUGCAGGAGAAUCUGUCAGCUC
Cebus imitator (Panamanian white-faced capuchin) is the source of this 1940-nucleotide long non-coding RNA. RefSeq lists it as uncharacterized. Lineage: Eukaryota; Metazoa; Chordata; Mammalia; Primates; Cebidae. The transcript is spliced from 3 exons. The record is from RefSeq and is a predicted model, not a curated record.